AUUGAACGCUGGCGGAAUGCUUUACACAUGCAAGUCGAACGGCAGCACGGACUUCGGUCUGGUGGCGAGUGGCGAACGGGUGAGUAAUGUAUCGGAACGUGCCCAGUCGUGGGGGAUAACGUAGCGAAAAUUACGCUAAUACCGCAUACGAUCUAUGGAUGAAAGCGGGGGAUCGCAAGACCUCGCGCGAUUGGAGCGGCCGAUAUCAGAUUAGGUAGUUGGUGGGGUAAAGGCCCACCAAGCCAACGAUCUGUAGCUGGUCUGAGAGGACGACCAGCCACACUGGAACUGAGACACGGUCCAGACUCCUACGGGAGGCAGCAGUGGGGAAUUUUGGACAAUGGGCGAAAGCCUGAUCCAGCCAUUCCGCGUGCAGGAUGAAGGCCCUCGGGUUGUAAGCUGCUUUUGUACAGAACGAAAAGGUUUCUACUAAUACUAGGAGCUCAUGACGGUACUGUAAGAAUAAGCACCGGCUAACUACGUGCCAGCCGCCGCUGUAA
Molecule: ribosomal RNA, 500 nt
Filed under: uncultured bacterium
Lineage: Bacteria
Description: partial 16S ribosomal RNA
Rfam family: Bacterial small subunit ribosomal RNA
Source: RNAcentral